This is a long non-coding RNA of Perca flavescens (yellow perch), 1284 nucleotides long. RefSeq lists it as uncharacterized. The transcript is spliced from 2 exons. NCBI's taxonomy places the organism in Eukaryota, Metazoa, Chordata, Actinopteri, Perciformes, Percidae. The record is from RefSeq and is a predicted model, not a curated record.
UCUUCUCGACAGUUAACAUAAUUACCAUGAAUGAUUUAUCUUUCACUUGGUUAUUAUUAGUCAAAAGUCCACAAAGCUAGGUUGGUGAGGAUGAUAGUAACGUUUGCACAGUGGUUGGUCUGUUAUGAUGCUGAAAUGGCUAACGCUAGCCUGCUAGUUAGCGUCGUUUUACUGUUGGUCCAGAAAGUGUCUCUGCUGGUCUCUCUGUGUGCCUGCUGAAGACAGCCGUGUUGUCCAUCGGUCUGAUCAUCAUGGUGGCUGCUGUCAUCACUGUUCACCUCAUGGUGAAGCUCAAGAAGCAUGAAUAAAAACUUAAAGUUAAAGGUACACUGUGCAGCUUUUCACCACUAAUAGCACCAUGAAACAGUUUUUUUUUUUUAUGAGAGUCCCUGUUUUGUUUGUAUUGUGCAUGCAGCCAUGCUCGAGCCCUCAGAGGGAUGUACAAUCCUCCCACUGAUGUCAUGCUGUUCCACUGAUUGACAGUAGGUGGCAGUAACACACCAGGAAAUGCACCAACAAAGCAGAGGAGGAAGAAGGCUGCCAGCCAGAACACAUGGCUGUAAACAAUAUAAGAUGUAAAAAACAUUUGUACAAAAUCUGGGAAAAAUGAAUUUCAACUCAUUUGUAAAGCUUAAAUGAUACUUUAAAUUCAAUUUUGCAAGUAUAACUUCAUGUAAAUAAUGUUUCUUUCCAAGAAAACUCCACAGGGCACCUUUUACGCAAAUGCUUAUGAUUCCUAAUUAUCCAUUGAUUAUACCCAAUAAUCACCGUGCUCACUUUGUAAAAAACAAAUAGGCCUAUUGGACAGAGAUGUUCCAAAAUACUUUAAGAGCAUAUAAUCUCCUUAACAAAAAACAACAUUUAUAUUUAUAUGAUAAAGAGCAAAGAUACAAGAACUAGCCUUGAUGUAACCCUGAAUGUUAUUAACAAUGUUCUAACAAUAUAUAUGUGUAUGUUUAUUUGUACAGUAUUUUAUUAUAUUUAUCAUCUUUGGGUGACUGCAGUUUCUGCUACAUGCACCAUUAUCAGAGAUUCAUUAAAGCUAUACUCAUAAUAUUUUGUGGAGAUUUUGUGAAUUCAUGAAAAGAUCACGGCCACUGACUCCCAUUUAAAUCUGUGAACAAAAUUUGGGAAAAUAUGAAUUCCAACACAUUUGUAAAGCUUCAAGGUUUUUUACAAUGCAAUUUGGCGAGUACAAAAUCUUGUAAAUCUUGAUUAUUCAUUGAUUAUACACAAUAAUCAAUGUGCUCACUUUGUAAAUAAAAUUAUUGUUUGUUUAUUGUU